AUAUAACAUGUCCCUGUGAACAGAAGAUAAACAGGCAAGAAACAAUCUAACAAAAAUGUAGAACCACUGAGGUGAUGUAGACUAUUAGUAAAAGUAUCUCCAAGACAGGAAUUCAGAUCACAGUGUUGCUGAUGUCAUCAUUUUUUAAGAAUGUGUAUGGAUGAGCAUGCGGGGAGAUGAUCAAUGCAAGCUCCUUCAAAGCAUGUCACCUCUGUGUACAAACGCGGUGGCCUAGCUGCUGUUUUCUUCUGCAUCCUCCUCUCUCUCACUUGUCUGAAAGAGAAGGGAAGAAACAGGAUAGUUCAGUCUGAAGCAUAUAUUUCAUCUGGUAGCCCUGAGUCAUGUUAGGUCAACCACAGCAGCUGCAGCCUAAGGAGUAUGCACCAACCAUGUUGUUGCAUUAGAGGUAAGGUCCUUUUACAGCCACACGGCAAUGCCAUGGUUCCAGAUACCUGCUCAGCAUUUCAGUUAAGCACAUUUUUGCUGUGGCACAUAGCUAUUAUAACAAAUUUACUUUAGAAGGAAAUGAAUCAUGCCCCGAAUAUUGACUCUCUGGAGUUGAUGUGCAUUGACUCUAAGGAAGUGUAGGUUGACUGAGUAAUGUAAAUGUCUACAUUUAGUCAGCACUGCUUUUUGAGACAUGACAUUAACUGCUUGGCUGUACCCUGAGUUGUCAAACAGUGACAGCAGUGUAAGACUGCAGAAGGCUGAACAGUAGACAGAGGACUUCGAUGUCAAGGGUGGAGGCUGCUCAGGAAUAUUUGCUUCUAGUGGUUCCCAUUCCUGUUACUUUACAUGCUCAUCUUGACGGAAAAGGAGAGAGCCUUUCAGAUGGAAAGGAGGUCCAAGAAGGAAUCUGCGCAAUGGAGUCAGAAAAUAGGCACCAGUAAUCUGAGUGUGUUUGAAAAGAAAGUGGGUAUAUGUACACCCAGGGACUUCACAGUAGUUCACAGGUAGU
Molecule: long non-coding RNA, 958 nt
Organism: Cygnus olor (mute swan)
Lineage: Eukaryota; Metazoa; Chordata; Aves; Anseriformes; Anatidae
Exons: 3
Source: RefSeq, a predicted model, not a curated record